GAUUAACGCUGGCAGCGUGCAUAACACAUGCAAGUCGAACGAUGAAACUUUAAUGAACCCUUCGGGGAGAAUUAAAGCGGAUUAGUGGCGAACGGGUGAGUAACGCGUGAGUAACCUGCCUUACACAAGGGGAUAGCCUUUGGAAACGAAGAAUAAUACCCUAUAAAACCAUACAAGCACAUGCAAUUAUGGUCAAAGUGAUAGCGGUGUAAGAUGGACUUGCGUCUGAUUAGCUAGUUGGUGAGAUAAAAGCCCACCAAGGCAACGAUCAGUAGCCGGCUUGAGAGAGUGGACGGCCACAUUGGGACUGAGACACGGCCCAGACUCCUACGGGAGGCAGCAGUGGGGAAUUUUGCACAAUGGGGGAAACCCUGAUGCAGCGACGCCGCGUGAUUGAGAAGGCCUUCGGGUUGUAAAAAUCUUUUGUAUAGGAAGAAAAUGACAGUACUAUACGAAUAAGGUCCGGCUAAUUACGUG
RNAcentral lists this ribosomal RNA (477 nucleotides) under uncultured bacterium. Its description in RNAcentral is "partial 16S ribosomal RNA". It matches the Rfam family "Bacterial small subunit ribosomal RNA", at positions 28 to 507 of the family's 1533-position model. The record is from RNAcentral.